This 606-nucleotide ribosomal RNA is filed under the name uncultured bacterium. Its description in RNAcentral is "bacterial SSU rRNA". It matches the Rfam family "Bacterial small subunit ribosomal RNA", at positions 313 to 916 of the family's 1533-position model. The record is from RNAcentral.
CUGGGACUGAGAUACGGCCCAGACUCCUACGGGAGGCAGCAGUGGGGAAUAUUGCACAAUGGGCGCAAGCCUGAUGCAGCGACGCCGCGUGGGGGAUGACGGCCUUCGGGUUGUAAACCUCUUUCACCAUCGGCGAAGCCUUCAGCUUUUGUUGGGGGUGACGGUAGGUGGAGAAGAAGCACCGGCCAACUACGUGCCAGCAGCCGCGGUAAUACGUAGGGUGCGAGCGUUGUCCGGAAUUACUGGGCGUAAAGAGCUCGUAGGUGGUUUGUCGCGUUGUUCGUGAAAUUCCCUGGCUUAACUGGGGGCGUGCGGGCGAUACGGGCAGACUGGAGUACUGCAGGGGAGACUGGAAUUCCUGGUGUAGCGGUGGAAUGCGCAGAUAUCAGGAGGAACACCGGUGGCGAAGGCGGGUCUCUGGGCAGUAACUGACGCUGAGGAGCGAAAGCGUGGGGAGCGAACAGGAUUAGAUACCCUGGUAGUCCACGCCGUAAACGGUGGGUACUAGGUGUGGGUUUCCUUCCUUGGGAUCCGUGCCGUAGCUAACGCAUUAAGUACCCCGCCUGGGGAGUACGGCCGCAAGGCUAAAACUCAAAGGAAUGACGG